UACGAACUGCGCGAACGUUAUUCGGAAUCACUGGGCUUACAGGGUGCGUAGGCGGCCCAUCAGGUCCGAUGUGAAAUCCCCCAGCUCAACUGGGGAAUGGCAUUGGAAACCGAUGGGCUAGAGUGAGCUAGAGGUGCACGGAACUUCCGGUGGAGCGGUGAGAUGUGUUGGGAUCGGAAGGAACACCAGAGGCGAAGGCGGUGCACUGGGGCUUGUCUGACGCUGAGGCACGAAAGCCAGGGGAGCGAACGGG
Molecule: ribosomal RNA, 253 nt
Filed under: uncultured bacterium
Lineage: Bacteria
Description: partial 16S ribosomal RNA
Rfam family: Bacterial small subunit ribosomal RNA
Source: RNAcentral